GAUGAACGCUGGCGGCGUGCCUAAUACAUGCAAGUCGAGCGAACAGACGAGGAGCUCGCUCCUCUGACGUUAGCGGCGGACGGGCGAGUAACACGUAGAUAACCUACUUAUAAGACUGGGAUAACUUCGGGAAACAGGAGCUACUACUGGAUAAUAUAUUGAACCGCAUGGAUCAAUAGUGAAAGGCGGUUUUGCUGUCACAUAUAGAUGGAUCCGCGCCGCAUUAGCUAGUUGGUAAGGUAACGGCUUACCAAGGCUACGAUGCGUAGCCGACCUGAGAGGGUGAUCAGCCACACUGGAACUGAGACACGGUCCAGACUCCUACGGGAGGCAGCAGUAGGGAAUCUUCCGCAAUGGGCGAAAGCCUGACGGAGCAAUGCCGCGUGAGUGAUGAAGGUCUUCGGAUCGUAAAGCUCUGUUGUUGGGAAAGAACAAAUGUGUGAGAAACUAUGCACGUCUUGACGGUACCUAAUGAGAAAGCCACGGCUAACUACGUG
Molecule: ribosomal RNA, 497 nt
Filed under: uncultured bacterium
Lineage: Bacteria
Description: partial 16S ribosomal RNA
Rfam family: Bacterial small subunit ribosomal RNA
Source: RNAcentral